GGCUCCAUGAUGAUAUUAAUUUAUAUGGAGUCUGGCCUGCCCAGCGAUUAAAAUUUAGCGGCCGCGGUACUCUGACCGUGCGAAGGUAGCAUAGUCACUUGCCUUAUAAUUGAAGGCUAGUAUGAAUGGUUUGACGAGAACAAUACUGUCUCCUUUAAAAUUUAUAAAAUUUGGUUUUUAGGUGAAGAAACUUAAAUAAUAUUGAAAGACAAGAAGACCCUGUCGAGCUUUAAAAAAUAAUUUUGAUAAAAUUAGUAUUAUAAUCUAAUUUCAAUUUGAAAUUUUAGUUGGGGCGACUAAGGAACACAUAAAACUUCCUUUUAUUUAUUAAAGCCUGUGAGCUCUGAUCCAAAAGUUUUGAUUAAAAGAAUUAGUUACCGCAGGGAUAACAGCAUUAUCUUCUUUGAGAGUUCUUAUCGAAAGGGGGGUUUGUGACCUCGAUGUUGGACUAAGAUAUCCUAAUAGAUGUAGAAGUCUUUGAUGGUUGGUCUGUUCGA
RNAcentral lists this ribosomal RNA (497 nucleotides) under Bythiospeum cf. gebhardti ZF-2015. Its description in RNAcentral is "partial 16S ribosomal RNA". It matches the Rfam family "Bacterial large subunit ribosomal RNA", at positions 1817 to 2584 of the family's 2925-position model. Lineage: Eukaryota; Metazoa; Mollusca; Gastropoda; Littorinimorpha; Moitessieriidae. The record is from RNAcentral.